UUUAAACAACCUGCACUCUCUUUUCAUGUGGCCUAUCCCGCCACAAUGGUAACAUUCUAGGUCCUUUCUUGUCUUGGACCUUCCUCUCGAGCCAUCUCUUGACCUGCCCUUUGACUUGUCUCGCCUGUGGAAUUUUCUAUUGUUAGUUCUUCCACGAUACUCUGAGACGAGGGCUUCUGACUCGGCUACUACACCUUGUUCUUUCCUC
RNAcentral lists this long non-coding RNA (208 nucleotides) under Prunus persica (peach). Its description in RNAcentral is "long non-coding RNA (PPER_LNC003221)". Lineage: Eukaryota; Viridiplantae; Streptophyta; Magnoliopsida; Rosales; Rosaceae. The record is from RNAcentral.